GACAGAGGUCCCGAGCGUUGUUCGGAUUUAUUGGGCGUAAAGGGUGCGUAGGUGGCCAAGUAAGUUGGAUGUGAAAUCCUGGGGCUCAACCUCAGAAUUGCAUUCAAUACUGCUUAGCUAGAGAGCUGUAGAGGAGACUGGAAUUUACGGUGUAGCAGUGAAAUGCGUAGAUAUCGUAAGGAACGCCAGUGGCGAAAGCGAGUCUCUGGGCAGCAUCUGACACUGAGGCACGAAGGCCAGGGGAGCAAACGGG
RNAcentral lists this ribosomal RNA (253 nucleotides) under uncultured bacterium. Its description in RNAcentral is "partial 16S ribosomal RNA". It matches the Rfam family "Bacterial small subunit ribosomal RNA", at positions 524 to 776 of the family's 1533-position model. The record is from RNAcentral.